Molecule: ribosomal RNA, 434 nt
Filed under: uncultured Blautia sp.
Lineage: Bacteria; Bacillati; Bacillota; Clostridia; Lachnospirales; Lachnospiraceae
Description: bacterial SSU rRNA
Rfam family: Bacterial small subunit ribosomal RNA
Source: RNAcentral
ACGGAAGGCAGCAGUGGGGAAUAUUGCACAAUGGGGGAAACCCUGAUGCAGCGACGCCGCGUGAAGGAAGAAGUAUCUCGGUAUGUAAACUUCUAUCAGCAGGGAAGAUAAUGACGGUACCUGACUAAGAAGCCCCGGCUAACUACGUGCCAGCAGCCGCGGUAAUACGUAGGGGGCAAGCGUUAUCCGGAUUUACUGGGUGUAAAGGGAGCGUAGACGGAGAAGCAAGUCUGAUGUGAAAGGCAUGGGCUCAACCUGUGGACUGCAUUGGAAACUGUUUUUCUUGAGUGCCGGAGGGGUAAGCGGAAUUCCUAGUGUAGCGGUGAAAUGCGUAGAUAUUAGGAGGAACACCAGUGGCGAAGGCGGCUUACUGGACUGACACUGACGCUGAGGCACGAAAGCGUGGGGAGCAAACAGGAUUAGAUACCCUGGUA